AGUGAACGCUGGCGGUAGGCCUAACACAUGCAAGUCGAACGGCAGCACAGUAAGAGCUUGCUCUUACGGGUGGCGAGUGGCGGACGGGUGAGGCAUACAUCUGAAUCUACUUUUUCGUGGGGGAUAACGUAGGGAAACUUACGCUAAUACCGCAUACGACCUACGGGUGAAAGCAGUGGAUCUUCGGACCUUGCGCGAUUGAAUGAGCCGAUGUCGGAUUAGCUAGUUGGCGGGGUAAAGGCCCACCAAGGCGACGAUCCGUAGCUGGACUGAGAGGAGGAACAGCCACCAUGGAACUGAGACAAGGUCCAGACUCCUACGGGAGGCAGCAGUGGGGAAUAUUGGACAAUGGGCGCAAGCCUGAUCCAGCCAUACCGCGUGGGUGAAGAAGGCCUUCGGGUUGUAAAGCCCUUUUGUUGGGAAAGAAAAGCAGCAGGUUAAUACCCCGAUGUUCUGACGGUACCCAAAGAAUAAGCACCGGCUAACUUCGUG
Molecule: ribosomal RNA, 492 nt
Filed under: uncultured bacterium
Lineage: Bacteria
Description: partial 16S ribosomal RNA
Rfam family: Bacterial small subunit ribosomal RNA
Source: RNAcentral